GAACGAAGCACUUAAGAAUGAUUCUUCGGAUGAAUUCUUUUGUGACUUAGUGGCGGACGGGUGAGUAACGCGUGGGUAACCUGCCUCACACAGGGGGAUAACAGUUGGAAACGACCGCUAAUACCGCAUAACCCGCUAGGGCCGCAUGGCCCGGACGGAAAAGAUUUAUCGGUGUGAGAUGGACCCGCGUUGGAUUAGCUAGUUGGCAGGGUAACGGCCUACCAAGGCGACGAUCCAUAGCCGGCCUGAGAGGGUGAACGGCCACAUUGGGACUGAGACACGGCCCAAACUCCUACGGAAGGCAGCAGUGGGGAAUAUUGCACAAUGGGGGAAACCCUGAUGCAGCGACGCCGCGUGAGUGAAGAAGUAUCUCGGUAUGUAAAGCUCUAUCAGCAGGGAAGAAAAUGACGGUACCUGACUAAGAAGCCCCGGCUAACUACGUGCCAGCAGCCGCGGUAAUACGUAGGGGGCAAGCGUUAUCCGGAUUUACUGGGUGUAAAGGGAGCGUAGACGGCUAAGCAAGUCAGGAGUGAAAGGCUGGGGCUCAACCCCGGGACUGCUUUUGAAACUGUUUGGCUAGAGUGCUGGAGAGGUAAGCGGAAUUCCUAGUGUAGCGGUGAAAUGCGUAGAUAUUAGGAGGAACACCAGUGGCGAAGGCGGCUUACUGGACAGUAACUGACGUUGAGGCUCGAAAGCGUGGGGAGCAAACAGGAUUAGAUACCCUGGUAGUCCACGCCGUANACGAUGAAUACUAGGUGUCGGGGAGCACAGNUCUUCGGUGCCGCCGCAAACGCAAUAAGUAUUC
This 805-nucleotide ribosomal RNA is filed under the name uncultured bacterium. Its description in RNAcentral is "bacterial SSU rRNA". It matches the Rfam family "Bacterial small subunit ribosomal RNA", at positions 46 to 869 of the family's 1533-position model. The record is from RNAcentral.